Molecule: long non-coding RNA, 617 nt
Organism: Cimex lectularius (bed bug)
Lineage: Eukaryota; Metazoa; Arthropoda; Insecta; Hemiptera; Cimicidae
Exons: 3
Source: RefSeq, a predicted model, not a curated record
AAGUGAGACAGUGCAGAGUUUGGACUUGUCACGGGGACUUGACGUACGGAAGUGAGAUAACCUUAAAAUGGGGACUGACGCACGGAUCAAAGCCUAGGAUGACGGAUCCCGACAACAAUCUUCAUUCGAGGACCAUCGAUAAUCAGAUAGUUAAAAAGCGACCCUCAUUUAGGUCCGCCGUUGAAGAACAAGGUGCUGCCGAGAUGGACACUCACCUGGGAAGCAGGUGGACGCUUCCGACCAAAGAGGACGAUUGGAAAAUCAGUUGGUAUGACGAAGUAUGACGAGCUGUGUAAUUUUUCCAACUGCAUUGGUGCAACAGUGGGACUGAAUUUUUACAAUUACAAGCAUUUCUUCUGCACAGUAUUAAUAGCUCUAGCAGAUACUAAGUAUGGUUUAUAUUCACUGAUUUUGACUGUCAAGGGAGACUAAUUGAUGACUAUCUAAAUACCGAACUGUAUCGGAAAAUUAUGAUACCAUCUUCAGAGCGAGAAAAACCAAUGGCAUGACGCAUUUCCUUUCAAUAAUCGAAUCAUAAAUCGAAUCGAAAUAUGUCAAACUCUUUCCAAACUAUUUCAUAUCUUUAAAAUUAGCAUGCUAUUCAAGAGGAACCUAGA